RNAcentral lists this ribosomal RNA (545 nucleotides) under uncultured bacterium. Its description in RNAcentral is "partial 16S ribosomal RNA". It matches the Rfam family "Bacterial small subunit ribosomal RNA", at positions 355 to 893 of the family's 1533-position model. The record is from RNAcentral.
UGGGGAAUUUUGGACAAUGGGCGAAAGCCUGAUCCAGCAAUGCCGCGUGUGUGAAGAAGGCCUUCGGGUUGUAAAGCACUUUUGUCCGGAAAGAAAUCCUUGGCUCUAAUACAGUCGGGGGAUGACGGUACCGGAAGAAUAAGCACCGGCUAACUACGUGCCAGCAGCCGCGGUAAUACGUAGGGUGCAAGCGUUAAUCGGAAUUACUGGGCGUAAAGCGUGCGCAGGCGGUUUGCUAAGACCGAUGUGAAAUCCCCGGGCUCAACCUGGGAACUGCAUUGGUGACUGGCAGGCUGGAGUAUGGCAGAGGGGGGUAGAAUUCCACGUGUAGCAGUGAAAUGCGUAGAGAUGUGGAGGAAUACCGAUGGCGAAGGCAGCCCCCUGGGCCAAUACUGACGCUCAUGCACGAAAGCGUGGGGAGCAAACAGGAUUAGAUACCCUGGUAGUCCACGCCCUAAACGAUGUCAACUAGUUGUUGGGGAUUCAUUUCCUUAGUAACGUAGCUAACGCGUGAAGUUGACCGCCUGGGGAGUACGGUCGCAAGA